AUGCUGGUACCAAGCUUGAUGAUGUAUUGGUGUGCUACACUUGAUGAUGUAUUGGUUGUUGAUGAGAACAUGACUACCUUGGAUACGACCAAAAAUAUUGCAUACAUGCAUAUUUGUCAGGUGAUUUGUAGUGCAAACUAUUCAAUAAUCUAUUUAUGUUAUCCAGAACAAAAAUACUUCACACACUUUUAUGUUUUGCCUAAUUGCAGGUGUAUGGGACAUUUGUACAAUCCACAUAUGAAGAUAAGGCAAGAGGAGAAGUUUAGGUUCUGUUCAAAAAUUCCUCUCACGUCAUUUUUGGGCCAAGAGAAGAUAGAGUCCAAGUUUCUCACGUUCUGGAUUCAGAUUCGGACUGCACACACAUACCUGACUCAAAACGCCAACAAUUUUUUCAUACGGACUCCGAAUUGGGUGAUUCUUUUUUUGUUGGAAAGUAGAUUUCGUCCUCUUUCCAACCCAAUUGGAUUCACCUUUAAAUUCGUCCGGAGUGUUGAGAUAUGGACGAAACAAUCUGACGUUGCAGCAGAAUUCGAGUCAAACAACAAGUCCAAAGGUGUUGCAUCACCUCCACUUGGGCCCAUGAGCCUUUUACGACCUAGGGUUGGUUUUAAUCUGCCUUGGGACGUCUUUCCACCUCCUUGGCCACCACCCCUUGCUCCUAUAUAA
Molecule: ribosomal RNA, 666 nt
Filed under: Triticum aestivum (bread wheat)
Lineage: Eukaryota; Viridiplantae; Streptophyta; Magnoliopsida; Poales; Poaceae
Description: partial small subunit ribosomal RNA
Source: RNAcentral